Dama dama (fallow deer) is the source of this 2473-nucleotide long non-coding RNA. RefSeq lists it as uncharacterized. The record is from RefSeq and is a predicted model, not a curated record. The transcript has 5 exons. NCBI's taxonomy places the organism in Eukaryota, Metazoa, Chordata, Mammalia, Artiodactyla, Cervidae.
AAAAUGGCAACCCACUCCAGUAUUGUUGCCUGGAAAAUCCCAUUGUUGGCGGAGCCUGGGAGGCUGCAGUCCAUGGGGUCGCAAAGAGUCGGACAUGACUGAGCGGCUUCACUUCACUUCAACCUCUGACUUGGGAAAAAGAAAAGUAAGAAGGAACUGAAGUAUGGGAAUCUUUUCAACUGUUACAGUGCUUCAAGGCAUAUUUAUUUUCCAUUCUUUCACAAAGGAUGCGGUAUUGGAUGCUACUGUGCACCACCAACGUUUGCUUCUAGAACCAACUUACCUACAUUGAUUGGAAUUUUGGAUGCUGACCAUUCACAGCUGCAUUCUUUAGGCAUUGCCCCUGGCUCAAGAAAGCUGCCUCACCCACAAUGCUGCCCUCUUCCUGGGCUGCAGCACACAUUCAGCGUCUGGGUCCUGCAGGGUACAAAGGCUUGUCCUGCUUACUUCAUUUCAAGACGUCUCUAAAGGGCCAUUCCGCCUUCACAAGUGGAUUUGUGGAAUCCACUGAGGCUGUACUUGUCAUUCACAAAGCACCUUCCCUUUUCACAUGUCCUUGAUUAGUGAUAAUCCUCAUAACCAAUGAAAUAUUUUGCUGCUAAAACUCAAGUGUCAAGACACUUGACUACAUGCUAGGAAAAGCAAAAUUAUGAACAGGUUUCUGACUUCAAAGAUUUUAACUUUCAGAAAUGAUCAAUGACUACAAAGUAUCUCACAAGGCUGUAUGGCCUAAGUGUGAAGGUACUGAGUCAUUCAGUCAUCAAACUUUAAACACCUGGAGGUACUUUGUACAGCUGCGUGGAGGUCGUUAAGCAGUGGGCCCUGCCGCUAAGGAUUUCAGUGGGUUCUGGGGAAGAAAGUUGAUGUAUUUAUUGGCUGCACUGGAUCUUUAUUGCUGUGCGCGGACUUUCUCUAGUUGUGGAGAGCAGGGGCCACCCUCUAGUUGCUUCUCAUUGCACCGGCUUCUCUGUUGCAGGGCAGGGGCUUUAGGGCAUGCGGGCUUCAGUAGCGCUGCACAUGUGCUCAGGAGCUGUGGCUCACGGCUCCAGAGCGCAGGCGUAGUUGUGGGGCAUUGGCUUAAGCCGUUCAGGUGGCAUGUAGGAUCUUCCCCAAGCAGGGAUGAAACCCCUGCAUCGCAAGGCUGAUGCUUAACCACUGGACCACCAGGCUGGUGCUUCCCUCCUGCCCCCUCAUGCCCUAGCCCUUUGUGAAAUAAUUAAUUACCUUUUCUGAUUCAACUCAAGUUCUUUUUCUGCAGUGAGGAUGUACAUAAACAAAUCGAGCCUCCAUGAGGAAACUUACCAGAGAAACUACAGGGAGGCUCCAUUGUUGAAGGAAUAGCGUAAAGGCAGGGAAUGGAAGGGCGGUUCCUCACAAUUGUUCCUAAUAGCAGCAAAAGAGGGUAUUUAACAAGAAAUGAGAGUCGAAAGUGAGAAGAAGCCUGAAGCAAAGGGUACAUCUAAUAUGUCUAGAAGUCUCAGUGACUCUACCUUCAAAAUAUAUACAAAAUUCAGGAAGUUCCUCAGACAAAAAGAAUUAUGAGACCAAGCAUAAACCUGUAUCCACAUCAAGAAGUGAAGAGUAUGGGAAAUGGACUAAGGCAAGGGGGAGCUGUUAUAGCAAGUGUUGAUCAGAAUAUAGAAGAUCGUGCUGCUUUUUAGAAGUAUAAAGUGCUCUGCAGAAAACAGAACAGGUGAAAUCUUAUUUUUUUUUUAAAAAAAAUGGAACUGCUAUGUUUGACUGACUUAAGGAUAAAGAACAGAACUCUGGAAAUAAUGAAGAAGACACCACAUAGAGGGAAAAAGUGUUUUAAAGAACUCAUGAAUUGAGUGAAUCAGAAAGAGAAGUAACUAAAAAUGAAUUGACAAUGCUGGAGAAAACUUUGAAUUUUUUUGGAAGCAUUGUAAUUCAAACAUUAGUCAAACUACACACUGAUCUUAACCUUUUCACAACUGGAAAUGAUGUUCAGAUGUGUGAGCAGUGAAGCAGGGAGAGAGUGAGGGAAAUAAAGAACUUUGUAAAAGAUGAUUUUUUUAUGUAGUAUUUGAUUCGUAGUAAAAUUAUAAUCUUCAAGAAUCUCUGGAAGAAGACUGGUUGAUUUAUAAAAUUGUAUUUAUUUUAAUAUUGAAUUAGAGGAUUAUAUUUAUUCAAAAGCUUCACAUUGCAUCCAAGAGCAUAGUUAGGACCAGGCUGUCCACGGAUAGCUUUUUAAAGGAAUUGGACUGAUUUGUGAUUUGCAAUUAUUGGUCUAUCAUGAACACUAUUGAACUGUUUCAUUGUUGGAGUAAAAAGUCUAGGUUCUUUAUCUUAGUGUUUCAUCUUACCACAUUCAUAUACUUAGUAAAUUCAACUAUAGAUUUAUGGCAAUAGAACUAGAAUUUAAUGAAGCAGGGUUUGCUGGUCAUCAGAUUUUGCUUCACUUGAGUCUAUUAGAUCUUGAAUCUGUUAAUUUAGUGUGUGUAAACUUGGAUAA